UACGUAUGUGUAUAGCUAUAUAAUAUAUAUAGAUAUAUAUAUAUAUAUCAUACGGAUAAUAUAUAUGUAGUUUCAUAGUUUAUUUGUGUGCAAUAAUAAUGACGCUCUCGUAUAGGUGCAACGUAUACGGAUAAUUGCGGCGUAUACGAUUAAAUUGGAGAACAUAUACAAUUGAAAACUAAAAUCAAUAAAGAAAUGAAAAGGAAAAAGAAAAAAAACAAAAACAAAAAAAACCUUUAGUCCCGGUUGGUAAUACCAACCGGGACUAAAAGGGGUGGCCAGGGGUGGCGCCACGUCACUGCCUGGUGCCCCCUGUAGUCCCGGUUGGUGUUACCAACCGGGACUAAAGGUCCCCAUUUAGUCCCGGGUCUGGGAGCCGGGACUAAAGGUGGGACCUUUAGUCCCGAUCCCUUAGUCCCGGCUCGCCACCCGGGAAUACAAGUGGUUUUCGACUGGGACUAAAGGCCUUUCCUGUACAAAGUUAGUAAGUUAGGUAUUCACACUGAUUUAUAACUUUGAACUUUUCAUUUUUAUAGACAGAGCUUACCGAUCAGAUAGCUAAGACAAAACAAUUAAUAAACAUGUAGUAGAGGGUACGGUGUUUAUUUUGACGAGGGGAUUGGCCAUGGUAUUGAAUUCUGAAUCCCUACCAUCUUUAAUAAGUAAUAGGUAUAUAUAUAGCCCUUCGCUGGUCUAAAAAACUAUGACUGAAAAUACUUAUACUGAUUUAUCAUAAAUAAAAUACUAUUAGCUGGUAAAAAAAUAUGGCUUAUAAGACAAGCCGCAGACCAAAUGUCUAC
This 800-nucleotide long non-coding RNA is filed under the name Sorghum bicolor (sorghum). RNAcentral's name for it is "long non-coding RNA (SBIC_LNC003443)". The record is from RNAcentral. Lineage: Eukaryota; Viridiplantae; Streptophyta; Magnoliopsida; Poales; Poaceae.